RNAcentral lists this ribosomal RNA (468 nucleotides) under uncultured bacterium. Its description in RNAcentral is "bacterial SSU rRNA". It matches the Rfam family "Bacterial small subunit ribosomal RNA", at positions 34 to 518 of the family's 1533-position model. The record is from RNAcentral.
CGCUGGCGGCACGCUUAACACAUGCAAGUCGAACGGAGAUAUUUGGUUACUGAGAUAUCUUAGUGGCGGACGGGUGAGUAACACGUGAGCAACCUGCCUCUGAGAGGGGGAUAGCUUCUGGAAACGGAUGGUAAUACCCUAUAAUAUAACGAAGCCGCAUGACUUUGUUAUCAAAGAUUUAUCACUCAGAGAUGGGCUCGCGUCUGAUUAGAUAGUUGGUGAGGUAACGGCUCACCAAGUCGACGAUCAGUAGCCGGACUGAGAGGUUGAACGGCCACAUUGGGACUGAGACACGGCCCAGACUCCUACGGGAGGCAGCAGUGGGGAAUAUUGCACAAUGGGGGAAACCCUGAAUGCAGCGAUGCCGCGUGGAGGAAGAAGGUUUUCGGAUUGUAAACUCCUGUCUUAAAGGACGAUAAUGACGGUACUUUAGGAGGAAGCUCCGGCUAACUACGUGCCAGCCGCUGC